GAAAUGCGAUAAGUAAUGUGAAUUGCAGAAUUCAGUGAAUCAUCGAAUCUUUGAACGCACAUUGCGCCCUGUGGUAUUCCGCAGGGCAUGCCUGUUCGAGCGUCAUUU
RNAcentral lists this ribosomal RNA (108 nucleotides) under Leptodophora orchidicola. RNAcentral's name for it is "Cadophora orchidicola partial 5.8S ribosomal RNA". It matches the Rfam family "5.8S ribosomal RNA", at positions 50 to 154 of the family's 154-position model. From Rfam's summary of the family: 5.8S ribosomal RNA (5.8S rRNA) is a component of the large subunit of the eukaryotic ribosome. It is transcribed by RNA polymerase I as part of the 45S precursor that also contains 18S and 28S rRNA. The record is from RNAcentral. Lineage: Eukaryota; Fungi; Ascomycota; Leotiomycetes; Helotiales.